CAGCAGCCUCCUCAGCCUUCUCCUUUUCCUUCUCAACAUCAUACUUGGGCUUCCAGGUCUUCUCCAGAAUGGAGGUGGCAACCUUCUCAUCAUCAGCAAUCAAGAUAUUGUCAAACAGGAUGCCAUCCUGCAUUGUCCAGAUCUCAAUACCAAUAGCAGCAAUUGGAUCAAAAUCAGGCUUGUCAAGCUCAAAGUACUCAGGGUUGGGGAUCUCCUGAGGCUUCCAGAUCCCCUUGUAGUUGGGGUUGUCAAUCAUAGGUGCAUGCCACUUGCCCUUGUAAGCAGGAUUCUGCUUCAUUGGCCUCUUCCACUCACCGCAUCCAGGUGCCUCUUCACACUUUGGGUUGUCAAUCUUUGGCGCCUCCCAUUCACCAUCCUCCUCAUCAUCCCAGUCCUCGGGCUUGGCUGCCUCAGGAUCAUCAAUCUCCUCAGGCUCGUCAUCCAACCAUCCCUCAGGCUUGGUGGCUUCCUCAUCCACAAUUUCCAUGGGGGCAUCCUCAUCCCAGUCAUCAGGUUUCACUGCAUCUGGAUCAGGGAUUUUAGCUCUCUCAUCCCAGUCCUCUGGCUUCUUGUCAUCAGGGUCAGGAAUGGUCUUGGAUGGGAUAAGUGCUGGCUCAAAAUCAUCAGCAGAAAGGAAGUUUGCCUUCUUCUUUUCUUCCCCGUCGACCAAAAUUCUGACCUCAUUGUCUGGCUUCAAGAUAGCCGUGUAGACAUGAGAGAGCUUGUCAUAUGGGACAGAAGGUGGGAAUUUGAGGUGAUGCUCAACAUACUUUCCAGUCUUGGGAUUCUUGUGCUUAAGGAUGAAAUGAACCUUGUUGGUUGACCCACACUUAUCUGGACCAAACAUAAUUGUGUAUGGAGUCUCAUUAUCAAACUCCUUGGCAUCCCAUCCAGCAUCCUGAGGGCGGAUGUACUUAAUGUAGGCACCUCCACAUUCAAGGCCAUUCUGAAGCCUCACUUCAAACUGCAGGACCACUGUCCCAUCCUUCAAAGUAACUGGCUCAUCAAGCUCCUUGAUUAUGGCGUAUUUCCUUGCCUUCUCACUGACAAGGAGGCCAUAGUCUUCAUGGCCAUCACUCUUGGCAUGCUUCCACACACCUACGAACCAUAUCAUGUAGUCAUUAAGCUAUGAAAGAAAGAACAGAACAGAAAUUAUGACUAGUAACAACAAUGUUCAAACAGCAGCAGGCAACUAGUAGUUAAGAUAAGGAUUGCAUAUCAGGACUAAGACACUACUCCCUCCAUCCACAAAUGCAAGCAACAUGUUGUUUCAGGAAGUGUAACUUUACAAAUUUUGACUAAUAAAUAGUCAAAUUAUGGUGUUGUCUAGUGUACAAAGGCUGUAUAGAUUCAUAUUCAAAUUAUGACCAGUGACAAGAAUGUUCACAGAUAAAUAGCAUAUUAGAAAAAUCUAACAGGCACCUAGUUAACAGAUAAAUAGCAUAUUAGAAAAAUCUAACAGGCUGUAAGGAUUGCAAGCUUACUUCAUAUGAAGAAUGUUUAAUGUGGCACAGGAUUACAGGAAUACAAGAUACCACUAGCAAACUGAACAUACUAAUAAAUUUAUUCUUUUUUGAAUAACCUAGUUCAUUAACACAUGCAUAUAUAAAUAAAAUUAUCCAAAAUCUCUCCUGACGUCUCAUGCUAUAUUCUAGCACAAGUUACUCACUCCUUCCAGUCAUGAAUAGAUGAGGUUACUCUCGACUAUCGAAGCAUAAGUACAUUUUGGCAGUUCCAGAAACGCCAACCAUUCAUAUCAACAAUGAGCCAACACAGAAACCAGUCACUUCAAUGAUCCUCUGUUCGUAACAGCUACAAACCACCGUAACUUGUGUCGGCACUGUCAAAAGGUUAUACUGAACGUUGGGACGUGGAGACUAGCCACAGCUCUGCAUCUAGAGGCAUCUAGAGCGGGUGCUGCUAGCGAAGCACAUCCGAUCGAACUAAAGCACAUACAUGACUGACAGUAUCGAUCGUGGAUCUCACGAGUAAUUGCACAGUUAUCUCCCAAUUUAAACACCGGAAACUACGAUCUCAGACGAAGAAGCUCCCACAACCCCACUAAACCCACGGAUCUAAACAGAUCUAGCGAAACCAUAACGAGCGCGAGAAGUAGACGCGCGCGCAUACCUUGGUACUCGUCCUUCUUGGAGACGACCCAUCUCCCCUCGAAGUCCUCGUCGAACGGCUCGUACAGCAGCUGCAAACAACAACACCGAUACCAUCACAAAUCUCGCCCACAAAAUUCAAAAUUCAGAGAGAAAAACAAAAUAGCCAAAUCGACACAGGCUCGCUUAGAUUACCGGAUCGGAGGCGCGGAUCUGAACGAGCAGCGCCGAGACGAGGAGCAGCAGCAGCGCGCGCCCUCCCAUCAUCCUCUCUGUCCCGAUCUCCUCGAGCCGGGGGCGGGGGGAGUUUCUGGAAACCUUCCAACUAGAGCGAAGCGUCCGCGAGAGGGAGCAGACGUGGGUGGGAGUAUAAGAAGUGGGCGCGGUGGAGUGGCUGCACGGCUCAGAUUAGGAGAGGAGGGGAAGGAACGGCGGAGAUGGAUCGAUCUGGGUAGGAGGGCCGGCAGUUGCGAGGAAAAGGCCGUCGUGUGACUUGUUCCGGCCAAUGGGAGGGUGCGGGACGUGGUGCUGGCCAAUUGCACGCUGCCACGUCUGACUCGUGACGCUUCGGUGUUGUAGGACGCCAUGUCAGCCGCCCCAAGGCACAGAAUGGUAGGAUAGGAUCCCGACCAGCCGGUGAAACCGUCAAAGUGGGGUAUGGCAUCUCCAUCCCGAAAUAUACAGACUACACGUAUAAAUUUUGAGUCAUUUUCAAAUUUUCUUGCAUGCCAUUAUAAAGAGUUUUGUACAGUAGGAACUAAUAGUCUUGGGACCCUUUAUAUUGAUUUGUUAUAACAAAAAAUAUUAUUUCUUCUUUGUUGAAAAGUACGACUGAAGUAAUAAUAUAAAAAAAAUAAGGUUUUCAUUUUCUUCGGUGCUACUUACAAUAAGUUGAUUAGAGUUCUAAAUUUGUUCUUUUUUUUUCUGGUGCCACUUCGUCCAUACUGUUGUGGUGCCAAAAUUUAAUCAUUCUUUUUACUAACACUAAUGUAAUUGGUAUUUCAAAUUAUUUGCAACACUAAUUUAAAUAAAUAUUAUUUUUCAACUAUUUUGUAUUAUAUCACAUUUGUGAUUUGUGAUGAACAGACACUAAGGCUUUGUUUAGUUCGCGAAAAAUUUUGGGUUUCGCUACUAUAGCAUUUUCGGCUUUAUUUGACAAUUAUUAUUUAAUUAUAGACUAACUAGACUCAAAAGAUUCGUCUCGCGAAUUACAGAUAAACUGUAUAAUUAGCUAUCUGUUUUAUCUAUAUUUAAUAUUUCAUACAUAUGCUGCAUGAUUCGAUAUGACAGGAAAUUUUAAAAAAAAUUUGGGAACUAAACAAGGCCUGAUAUAAGGCAGCAAGCAAAUGAUAAAAAUUGAGAUUCUUACAUCCCAUAACUAAACCAGACAAACACAUAAAUAUAUAUAUGUAUAUUGUGAGCUGAACUCAUCUUCUAUCAUUGCCGUUUCCAACUACAUUCCUCUUUAUCUUAAAAACAACUUGAAUUCUUUUUUUCUCUCAAAUAUCUUAAAAAGAACUCCAUUCCUGCCUUCAUGAUCUCAUCUUUCUUAUCCUUCUCUGCAAUGGCUGAUCACUGCAAGAAGAAAGGCAAAUUAGUCAAAGGUCAAACAAUGUUAAUGAACAUCUGCAGUAAUGAAAAUAUCAUCAUAAAAGAGUGCAAAAUAAAUUAUUUCUUUUUUUAAAAACUAAAUAAAUUAUUUCUAGAGGAAUGCUGAUGUGUAUAAGGUUCCAGAGCAUAUUGUAUGGUUUUUCCAUCCAUUUCAUACUACUUAGAGCGUGUUUGGUUGGAGGUAUUGUUGGUAUAAAUUAACUGCACUCCAUUUAAAUAGAUUUAAGUAGGAUUAUCCGCAAGCGCACAAAUAUCAUACCAGUGUCACAUUUUACCCGGAGGUUUUAAAUAUCGUAUCCACGGGGAACAGUUGUCAUGAUGACAUAGUAUAUAGACUUAACCCUACAAUUAGGCUAGAUCAUAUCAAGAAAAAGGAAAUAACUAAUGCACUCUAGUUCCGACUCCAGUAAACUUUGUAUAAUACCGUCUUAUCGUGCAAGUAACCCGAAUAGGGGAAGAAUCAGAGUAAUCCCCUAUGAGGCACCUAUGAGCCUAUCAAUCCUAUUAACGGGUAGUGGACUACAGAGGAAUCAACGCAGCUAUCACCUACUCGAGCUGAUCAGGGAACAUUCACAAGUAAACCUAGCCUAGGCACCACGCCUACACUACAAAAUACUACUUCAACCAAGUUACGACCAAGAUCAAAGCACUCAAUAUGAGUUGUGAACCAAAUAACGAAUAAGAACAAGUUGCUUACUUAAACCAAAAGGGUAAGUACAAAAGUACCUCAGAACGUAGCUCCGGGCGAGGGAACUGAAUCCAGAAGAAUACAGCCACGAAGAAGCACCGAUAGGCCGGAACUCUUCCAGAAUCUCUACUCCUCUACUUAAUCUCUUUAAUCUCUAAACAAGACUAGACCUAGAAGAACUAGUCUCUCCUAAUUGCUACAUCUAGAUGAACUAGAUCUAGAUGAACUAUAACUAGAACAACAAGAGGGACCCUAAUUCUAAUUAUGUGGAGAAUAUGAAGCACCAGGGUGUAGAAUGCCUCCACGGAGGAGGUCUGCCCCUCUAUUUAUAGCCCGGUGGGAUCGACAUGCGCUGUAGGAUCAAACCGACUUAACCAAGGGCCGAGAUGCAUCAAAAGAGGCGGUGGAGGAACCUUCCGGAAGGGGGAAGCCAGAAACCCUAGGGGGCGCCAGCCGGCGCUAGGGUGGGGCCGGCCGGCCCCACCUUGUCUCCUCUAUAGGUGUAACACCCGAUUUUAAGAACAAAAUCAGAUAUGCACCAUAUGUGAGUUUUAGAAAAUAAACCUCACAUAUAGCUACAAAUAAGGGGUAAUAUCAAAGGACAACGCAUAAAUUAUAUAACAUAGAUAAUAAAUCAGAAAACAACCUUAGGCAGCAAACCACGGACGAUAACUCCAAACUUUGGGUGUUAACUUCACUCUACAGGAUCCAACUGACUGGUUGAUCACAAGCCCACUACUUCUCCUGAGGUGAGGGGGGGAUAGCAAGAGUGAGUCCAAGACGAACUCCGCAAGUAUAACAACAAGAUUGUAUAGAUCCAUGGUCUCACGAUCAAUGUGACAUAAAUAAUAUAGAGCAUUAAACAAUAAAUAAUGAGUAUCUUAACACAACAAGAUUCAUCACCUUUAAUGUAAGAAUCCCCAAGGCCGCUCGUGACCGUGAGCACGGCUAGUAUACCAGUUUUUUAACACUCUGCAGAGGUUGUACAUCUUUACCCAUGAGUCAUGAUUUACCCUUUUGCCCGAGGUGAUCAGCCUCUUAACCCACUACCAAGGAAGGCCGACAGGGAUCACUAUGAAGUCUUUCAAAGGUUCGUCUAACAAGUUAGGGCUGCUUGGUUUCGCUAGUCAGUCCGUGUGAUUCUACCCCGCAGGGGAUCCACGGUCUGCUAUCCCCUAUUUGCGCCACGCGGGUAACCUCUAACAAGCUAGAAAAGUUACUCAUAUUUGACUAAAGCCAGAGCCAUCAUAACCCUCAUGGUUGCACUUUUAUCCCGGUUAUCACUUGCAAAUAAAUCCUCAUGUUGCUUAAAAAGUCAUUAUUAUUAUUUGUGGCUUUAUAUUAAUUUAGGCACAAGAUCAUGGUCAUAGAAUUAAAACCCAAAUGUUAUACUUGCCUUGAUCCAAUUGCUCCUGCUGGUCCUGCUGGCCUCACUUGCUUCCAAGGCUCUAACCUUGAUGACCGAAGUAAUGCCCACCGUCUAAUCUAGAUCGUCGAUUAUCAACACACAAACAAUCGGAGACAGACAUACACGAAGCAAACAAGAUUACAAUUAGAACAGUACACUAGUAGUAAAUAAAUUUAAAUAAAAGCUUUCCAAAAUCAUCUACACGCUGCUACGAUCACGUCAACGCAAAGUUCACGCAAAGAGGAGUUACGACGUGAAAUCUACGCAUUAAACGGGACUGCAAAGGCUAUCUACGGACUUGUAAUUAACUAGGAAAUCUAGCAAUGGUGAACCUAGGCAACAGUGGUACCAACACGAAGCUUAUGAAAUUAUGAAACUAACACAACUUGAACGGAUCGAAACGGAGCUAAAACAGAGAAGAUAUGAAUUUUCUAAGAUUUUGUUUAGAAAAGUAAUUAAUUAAAUAGGGUCACGAAAUUAAAAUAUUUCAAACUGGUGAACCAAGAUUACUAACACAAAGUUCAUGAGAUUAUGAAUCUAACGCAAUUUGAACGGGUCAAAUUGGAGUUAAAACAAAUAUUUUAUGGCCAAAACAAACUCAGUGGCUAUUUUGUAAUUUUGUGAAAGCGUAUUCUGCAAUCAAACCGGCGAAAAUACGUUUUCAAACUCGAUUGGCGUAACUCUAGAAGGCACUUUGGACCGCGGGUUCUAAACUCCAAAACCGCAGGGGUUCUUUAACAAAUUUCACCCCGAAGGGGUAUCUUCUAAUCACGACCGUUGAUUCGCGAUCCUACGAUGCAGAUCAACCCAGGGAGGAGAGGUUGCCGCCGGCGGCCGGUGCAGGGGGCAACCACGGUGGCGCCAUGGCCGUGGUUCGCCGGAGUUUGUGGUUCUAGCGCUAGAGACCACGGUUUUCGACGGGGAAGGCACCGGGGCAUACAUAAGCUUCGUGCAAACUCACCACAAAAUUGAAGGCGUGGGGGAUCUCGGAGAGGACCGGCAACAAACGGCUGCUUCCUGUACACAUUCGGCACGAAUUAGGGCAGCACUGAGAUCGAUAGAGAGAGAGGGAAAAGGGUACCUACGGCUUCGUGAUCACGUUGCGGAGCUCACCAAGCGGUUUUUGAUGGCCUCAGAGAAACAGUGGGCGCUAAUGGCGAUGGCGUGCGGCUCGGUGAGAUCCGAGUGUGCUAGGAGAGAGAGCGAGUGUGGUCUGGGAGGGAGAAAUGGUCGCGGGGCAACAGCACCGGCUCGGGCGUAGCUCAAAGGGAGCGAGGCGACAAAGUGGAGAACGUGGGAGCGGGGGCGCGGUUGCCAUCGGCGCUCCGCGAUAGGAGAAGGAGAGCAGUUGGAGGGAGGGGAUGGAUCUGACGGGUGGGUCCCACAUGGCAGAGAGAGAAAGGGAAAGGAGGAGGCGGUUUGGCAGUUGCUGCGCAAGUUGGGCCGGCCCAUGAGGAAAAGGGGAAAGGCGUGGUCCGAUAGGAGUUGGGCCAGGCUGGAAUGAGAGAGGGGGAGGGAAUAGGAUUUUUCUUUUUAUUUUUCAAUAAAUUUUCAAAGCUCAUUUUUUUCAAUUUGAAUUUGAAUAAAUUCUCUUUGCAAAACUUCACACAUCACAAAAAUAAAUGUUGCAGCAUGUAUGCAUCAACAUAUUUCUAAUAUUACAGUAAAUUUUAAUUUCUCAAAAAUUAUUAUUUUUCCUAUAUUUUGAUGCUCACAAACUUGACUCAAUAAAUCAAAUUCAACUAUUUAAAACAAGGGAAUUUUUAUGGCGUUACAAUAGGUCUCAUUCCUUCGGGUGUCUUCUAGAGCCUUCCUGACCCUGUUGGCGGUGUUGUUGCGUUGCGGUUAAGUCUCAUGUUUAUUUUGCACUUGAAUCCCUCUGCUUUCUGUAAAAUAAACCCUGAAAAACACAGAAUAUGCAAAACUCGUAGAAAUUGUUAGUUUAAACCCUAUACUAGUGUGUAUUCAUGUUCUCCUUCGGAUUUAAAGUUCUAAUAAAAGUUGACGUUAUCGACCGUCAACAGGUAUUAAAAUUUAACACGUACUGUAACUCUUUCAUUUUAUUUGGCAAUUAGUGUCCAAUCAUGGACUAAUUAGACUUAAAAGAUUUGUCUCGUAAAUUACUCUCUAGUUGUGUUUUUAGUUUUAUAAAUAGUCUAUAUUUAAUACUCCAUGCAUGCGUCCAAAUAUUCAAUGUAACAGAAGUUAAAGUUUACCGAUGCAAACCAAAUAGGACCUUAGUGGAAGUUCAUAAAUCACAACUACUAAACCACGGCAAUUAUUAGUUGUUUUAUCCACUUUUUAGGUAAAGUCAAUUCCAUCAGUCCACUAAAAUUAUAAGACUUCCUUCAAAGCCAAUCAAAAUUUUGUUUUCCCCUCACUGCCAUCAACUGGAACUUUCCUUUCCCUCACACUGCCAUUCCUUCAGUUUCUAUUAAAAUUUGUGUCACUAACAAAACUGGACCCAUGCAAUGACAUCGCUCCGUCUAACUUUGAUGCUAAAUAUACCCCUUAGCAUUUUGUUGGGAGUCAAGAGUGAGUUAGGGUCUUGUCUCUAAUUUUCUAUUUAGUUGACAAAGAACAAGAUCGAUCCAUUUUGUAUUUAGUUGAAGGAAUAAAUGGAUUCGAUGGUAUUAACUACUGUUUAAUCGGACCCACAUGUCAUUAAUGGGACUCGCGAGACAAUUUCUUUCAUCCUUAUCUCUUCUCCCCAACCCCAGCCUCUCAUCCUUGUCUCUUCCCCACUGCCUCGGUAGAACCCCUUGUAACACACCCGCUCCGCCACCGCCUGGCCCUCACCCUUGUCAUGGGAGCGCUCUUGUGGCCCACACCCCAGCCCCAACAGUACAAUUGCAGGCAGACUCGUUAGCGGCCGGCCGCUAACCCGCAUACAAUUGCAGGCAGGCUCGUUAGCUGCCGGCCGCUAACCCGCAUCGCUUGCUGUAAAGUUUAUUAGUGGACUUGCAGCUUACCACAAAGCUAUGGAUCUUGCGGACAAGUGUUCCGCAGACACAGCAAAUUUAUAUGCAAAACCCAUAAUACCUGCAACAAAUUUGUAGUAUAGUUCAUAUAAUAUAGCUUCUGCACACUAAGAGACCCGAGAGGCCCAUAAGGCCAUAACGUAGACCCGAGAGUUAAUGAAAUAACCAAGGAGAUGAGUUUUAAUAUGGAGCAAUUAAGAAAAAUAAAACAAGGAGAAGAGCGAAUGGGAAUAUAGGAUUAUGUGAAGUUUAACAUAUUGCAGGCUCCUUUACAAGGGCUUCACAUACUGAUCACUAUUAGUUUAGCCAGUCUCAUACAGUUUCCAUCUUAUAACAGUACAGGGCAAAGCCAUAUGCUAUUCAUUCAUCAGGCUGAAGGAAACCAUUCACAAAGAAGAUCCAUGUGCACCCCUUCUUUGCCACCUUCUUUGCUCAACUUGACACCUCCUUUCCUCAAAUAUCAUCACCAUCGCCAAUGCUAUCUUGUGAUAAUUUAAUAUCUGAUAAACCUGAAACAUGAGCGAGUAGUGAGUUAUAUGGUGUCAUUAUUGCUCAAUCAAGAAUACUAAAACUAACAUUAUGCUACUUUGUACAAUUAAAAAAAUGUACCUUCUGCACUCAACCAAUCUUGCAGGCAUACUAAGGAUUGAACUCUCUUGCUUGUUAGUUGGCUACUGUAGUCACUAACAAUUCUUCCACUAGUGGAAAAUGCGGAUUCAGAAGCUACAGUUGAUGCGGGUGCUGCAAGCACAUCUCUUGCCAUAAGCAAAAUGAUAGGAUAUUUCGUAGAAUGUAUCCUCCACCACUGUAGAAUAUCAAAAUUCUUUUGUCGAGGGAAAAGAUCAUCUUGCAGAUAUGUGUCAAGCUCACUUUUCACUCUCUUCCUUUUUGUGCUGCAAGAUGUUGUUCAAAGUCUGCCCAACAAUCAUAUUCAUCAAUACUUCCAUCAUUAGGCUCUAGGUGUGAGUAGUUUAAAUCAGGUGCCAUUGGUGAAUAUGCAGAAAACAGAUUUUGCAAUGUAGCCUUCACCAUUUACUGUAUGCUGGACCUUUAUCACCAAAACCAGCGUUCAAACGAAAUGAUGCAAAACUCAGCUUAAACCUAGGAUCUAGAACUACUAGAACACAUAUAUGCAACAAGCAUAUGUCCUAGUAUUUCUGAAACUUCAGAUUCAUUUUACUCACCAUAACUACAAUGGAAAUAUCUGUAUGUGAUUCCAAAGUUUCUAUUUUUUCCUUUGACUUUCGAUAGGACAUAGAAACAUUGGUUUGCUAUUGGAUAUAAUGUACCAGAAACAACAUUUGUAGCAUCAUAGAAGGGUUUGAACACAUUGCAAAGUAGGUCUGCCAUAUUCCAGUCUGUAUUAGAAGGCUUGUCCAUGUAAUUAGGAUCUUGUUACUCCAUAACAUCAAAGACUGCCCUAUACUCUAUUAGAGACUUCAGCAUUGAAUAAGUUGAGUUCCACCAAGUUGGAACAUCACGUGACAGUCUCUUCUCACAGGAUAUACCUAACUGUACAAUGAUUUCCUCGAAACACUGUUUAUGGGCUUGGGAGCUUCUAAUGUACUUGACACUAUCUUGAAUGUGGUCGGUAGAACCAUCUAUCACCUUAAAUCCCUCCUUGACAAAAGGUUCAACACAUGCGCUACACAACGCAUAUGUAGCAGAUCACCAUUUCCAAGCAUAAGGUGUCUUUCCAAAAGAUUUUUCCUUAGGGAACAAACCACGUUGUUGUUGUUAUUUGCAUUAUCUAAUAUGAUGCUAAAUAACUUGUGCUCUAGUUUCCAUUCUUGCAAACACUUCAACAAUGCAUUAAACAAAGUAAGACCGCCAUGGGGUGAAGCUACAAGACCAAAACCUAUUAUUCUCUUCUGCAACAUCCAGUCAUUAUCAAUGAAGUGGCAAGUAAUGCACAAGUAACCUAGGUUCUGAUUUGAAGUCCACAGAUCAGCAGUUAAAUAGACCCUUGAAUUUGGAUUUUUGAUAGUUUCCCAAAGGGUAACCUUCGAUCCUCAUAUGAGCUCAUAAUAUCCUCAGCAACUGUAGUUCUAGACACUAUGGUAAACCAAGGAUUUAAGGUAGCGAUAAAUUUCUAAAAUGGUGCAUGGUCAACUAAACUAAAGGGCAGCUCCUACAACACAAUGAAGUUGACCAUGGCUUAUGUGAGACCUCUUGGUCAAACUUCCAAUUCUUCAGAGCUAGUGAAUCAGGGGAUAGUCCUGUUUUGAUGCUUUCAACCAACUAGUUCAUUCUUGUCCUUUCUUUGCACACUUUCAAAUGCCUACGACAAGCACUUCUACCAUUAUCUCGAGUAGCACACAAGAGCUCCAAACAAUGAAUACAUUUAGCUUAUACUACUAGAUUCCCCUCAUAAAUAGGCUCAAAUUCUUUCCACACAUCAGAUCUAAGUUUACAUCUCUUAAUUGGUCUUGAUACAUCUGUACAAUAAGUAUGUAAGUAUUAAUUAGUACAAGCAUUAGGAUGACAAAGCUACACUCGAGAUCUGGCGCCCCAAUCCUGCAGAAGUCGGCACCUGGAUCUUGGAGGCUUCAUGGCCCCCAUCCUCUCCUGCCUCCUCUUGCUCCACCGUGGAAGAGUGCGAGUCGAUGGCCAGGUUUCGGCCGCCUACCACGGCUAGAUUUGGCGUUCCCACCAUCUAUGGAAGGCCUAGGACGAGCUGAAAGGGCCAGCGGAGGAGGGUGAUGCUCGACGCCAUCGUACCGUGACGGCGCGAUGUGCGAUAGCGGUAGCUGGUAGGGUUCAGGAGAUGCAGUAGUUGCGGGUCUUGCGGGCUUUGUCUCCUACCAAUGGGCUUGGUGGGUUCAAAGAUGUUGGGCCACAAAAAAACUACAGCUGGGCCACUACAACAACGAAGAGAAAUUUUGUGGGGCGAACAUGAGGGUCUCGUUAAGAGCCCGCCCCGCGGCAGGCGAUUUGCCAGACCGUCCCUCCCCCGGCAAUGUUUUUCCAGUCUGCCCCUGCCCCGGCGGCGCUCGGUCGUCUAGCCCUACACUAGCUCUGCCUGGUCACCCUUGCCCUGACGUCGCUCUACUGGACCCAUCCCUCUUUGACGUAGCUCGGCUAGCUGGCCUCGCAGCAACUCUACCCGCACGCCAACUACACUCGCACAGCUUGUCUCACUAGGUACACUCGUGAGAAGGAGAAACACGCCAUCCAUAGGGGGCGUCCUUGUCCUCUUGAUUUCAUGGGACGGGAAUAACCCGGAUAUCAGGCGAAUAUUCUUCCUAGAGGCAGCUCGGUCCUAUUUUGCCCCUGAAUCAAACACUAGCAAAACGAGGAUUGUCACGAGUACUGAGCCAUAGCUUAGCUGGUUUGGAUUGCUGGUGUGCGUCCAGCCCACCCGCGUUCGAAGCCUGACUUCGACGCUGGUGUCUCAACCAUGAACAGUGGUUCCCUAAAAAAAUUUCAUUGCCUUACACGAAUGUGUUAUAACUGUCGGAUCUCUUAGCCGUGUUUCAUAGCCUAAGUGUAAGAUGUAGGUCUAGCAUCCGCACUAAGAGUUUGUGAAAGAGUGGGUAGCCUAUGUAAUGUGUGUUGGUGCGCGAAUUGAGCUUAUACGCGAGGGUAAGGGCAGCCAAAAAACAAGGAUCGUCACAUCCCUGAUAAACCUUGCAACCAAACGGCUGACAUUAGGUGCCACCCAAAAUACCUAUACGAUGUGUCAAUUGUUCUUCCCUUGACUCCAGUUCUCCCGAUCCCAUCUCCAUCGAGCGCACUGAGAGAGGAAAUGCUAAAUCAGGGUGGGUGGCAUCGGGUGUGCGACCUGAGAAGCGGCGGCGACAGCUAAACGUCACGCCUGUGCCCGCGCCCUCGGUUGAGCUUCGUGUAUUAGUGGCGGGCCCAAUAGGCAGUCCAGGUAGGCACAGGACUACUCUAGAUUUUGGCCCAAAAAUUUUUUAGUACCCCUUUCAGCCCAUAGAAACUUGGCCCAUCCUCUUUCUCGGUUUCUCCCUUCUCAGUCUCAGCGUCCUCCGAUAUCCCGCAUCCUGCGUCCCGCAUCUGAGUCUGAGGAUUGGCCGCCCCCGUGCCGCCGCCCCUGUAGGCCCGUACCGUCGAGUGCCCGAGUCGCGGAGGCGGAGACGGUGAGCCGCGGUGCCCCCAGGCCCCAGCCCCCGUGCCGCACUGGCGCACUGCCGCUGCCGCCUAGGUGCCUCACGCGCGGACGCGCGACGCAGGCAGCUAGGCACGCCGCACGCGGGCACGCGGCUCACACCGACACGGCGACUCCAGCACCGAGCCACUGCGUGUGACGCCGCUCGCCGGCCAGCCCCGUGCCCCCGCAAUGCGCCAGCGCCCCUGCGCUCCCUCGACCCUGCAGCAGACCAGCAGUUCAGUUCCUGGUGAGUUAUUUUUUUUUUCUCCCAGAUCUGUGAGACUGAUUUUGUUUGACUUAGAGCCAAUAAUUGAAUGAAUUUGUUGAUAUAUUUUUAGAAAGUUGAGGUAUGAAGAAAUCAAAUAUAGCAGUUCUUUUCCAGAAACAUGAGAAGAAAAAAAUGCAACUCAGACUGCUCCACCAAUUCCAGUUAUUCAUGAAGAGUUGUCUAUUCCAAUUGUAGAAGAUCCUCUAAUUGCGAUUUGCGAGUGUAGAAAGUGGUAUUUUACCUGUGGAUGGAGGGACAGAAACACCUACAACUACAAGCACCACAACUCUACCCACAACAGAUGAAGUUGAAGAAGGGAUAGAAGCAGUAGAAGUAGAACCGCCUCUAGUUGCAGCCGCUGAUGUUGAUUCUCUUGAGCAUGACCCAGGCCUAAGGAGGUCUAUUUUAUUCUUUGAUGUGAAUGAACAAGACUCUAUCAGAAGAAGGUACAUUUUAAAAGGCCCAUGUCAUCUUUAUGCCUAUGUCUAUCCAUUCAGAAAAAUCUAUGGGAAAGAACGCCGUUUUAGUUUUCUUUGGUUUCAAAAGUACCCGUGGAUUGAAUAUAAUGUAGAGAAGGAUGCAGCAUAUUGCUUUCACUGUUAUUUAUUUGGUAAAGGAAGUGGAAAAUUUAUUACAGAAGGUUGGAAUAAUUGGAAUGUUGGAGCUAUUGCACUUGACAAACAUCAGAAUUCAACUUUACACAAGUUUGCUCAAGAGAAAUACAGCUUAUUUGUGCAAAAUGGUACAAAAAUUGAUAAUGUCAUUGUGAAGGUGUCAGAAAAGGAUAGAGCUGAUUACAAGGCUAGGUUGACUCAUUCACUCCGAUGUUUGAGGUUUCUUUUGAAUCAGGGAUUAGCUUUUCGUGGGCAUGAUGAAACUGAACAAAGUGUCAACAGAGGAAACUUUCUUGAACUCUUGAAUUGGCUUGCAGGAAAUAAUGAAGAGGUGAACAAAGUGGUUCUGAAAAAUGCCCCAGGUAAUUGCACAUUGACCUCCCCUCGCAUACAAAAACAAAUUAUUAGAUGUUGCUCUGAGGAAACUACUAGAUCCAUACUUGAAGCACUUGGGGAUGAUUACUAUGCAAUUCUAGCUGAUGAAUGUAGUGAUAUAUCACAUAAAGAACAACUAGCAGUUUGCUUGCGUUAUGUUGAUAAACGUGGAAGUGUUUGUGAAAGGUUUCUUGGAAUAGUUCAUGUUCCUGGCACCACUUCUUUGGAACUUAAAGCAGCUAUUCAAUCUUUACUCACUAGUCAUCACUUGACUCUUAGUUCUUGUAGUGGGCAAGGAUAUGAUGGGGCUAGUAACAUGAAAUGAGAGGUUAAGGGGCUGAAAACAUUGAUAAUGAAAGAGUCUAUGCAUUGUUUUGCACAUCAACUCCAAUUAGUACUUGUUGCAGUUGCAAAGGGAGAUGUUGGGGCUAGUACUUUUUUGCUAAUGUUUCACGCUUGCUGAAUAUUGUUGGAGUUUCUUGCAAACGGCAUGAUAUGCUUCGAGAUGUUAGAGCACAAAAACUGAAGAAAGCACUUGAAUUGGGUGAAAUAGAAAGUGGAAGUGGGUUAAAUCAAGAGAUGGGAUUGGCUAGGCCUGGUGACACUAGGUGGGGUUCUCAUUAUAGAACUGUUUUGCAUAUCAUUGACAUGUAUUCAACCAUUCAGGAAGUACUCAUAACCCUUGGAAAUGAUCCCACACAAAGAGAUGAUUGGCCAAACAUACAUGCUAUGGUUCUGAUUUUAGAGUCAUUUGAGUUUGUUUUCAAUGCCCACUUGAUGCUUGUGAUUCUUGGGUACAACUUGUCUCAAUCUUUGCAAAAGAGAGAUCAAGAUAUUGU
This 15006-nucleotide long non-coding RNA is filed under the name Sorghum bicolor (sorghum). Its description in RNAcentral is "long non-coding RNA (SBIC_LNC011105)". The record is from RNAcentral. Lineage: Eukaryota; Viridiplantae; Streptophyta; Magnoliopsida; Poales; Poaceae.